RNAcentral lists this ribosomal RNA (435 nucleotides) under uncultured bacterium. RNAcentral's name for it is "partial 16S ribosomal RNA". It matches the Rfam family "Bacterial small subunit ribosomal RNA", at positions 29 to 507 of the family's 1533-position model. The record is from RNAcentral.
AACGAACGCUGGCGGCAUGCCUAACACAUGCAAGUCGAACGAUUGCCUUCGGGUGAUAGUGGCGCACGGGUGCGUAACGCGUGGGAAUCUGCCCUUAGGUUCGGAAUAACAGCUGGAAACGGCUGCUAAUACCGGAUGAUAUCGCGAGAUCAAAGAUUUAUCGCCUGAGGAUGAGCCCGCGUUGGAUUAGGUAGUUGGUGGGGUAAAGGCCUACCAAGCCGACGAUCCAUAGCUGGUCUGAGAGGAUGAUCAGCCACACUGGGACUGAGACACGGCCCAGACUCCUACGGGAGGCAGCAGUGGGGAAUAUUGGACAAUGGGCGCAAGCCUGAUCCAGCAAGGCCGCGUGAGUGAUGAAGGCCCUAGGGUUGUAAAGCUCUUUUACCCGGGAAGAUAAUGACUGUACCGGGAGAAUAAGCCCCGGCUAACUCCGUG